AUUAAUGCUACCAGUCCAUCAACCUGUCAUUGGAAAUACCAUGUCAAUUUAAAAUUCCAAGAUAGCCUACACUCUCCGUACUAUAAGAGGUUUUGUUAUGAAUUUAAAAACCUGUUACUUCAAAAUUCCUUGUCAAAAGUUUUAUUACCUUACAAUUAGUGUAAAUGCAAUAAAACAUAGAAAGACACAUCAUGUAUAAAAUUCAUAGGUAAUCAUCUGCCAUACCAGGUCAGAAACAUACUGGAAG
This 247-nucleotide unclassified non-coding RNA is filed under the name Hevea brasiliensis (rubber tree). Lineage: Eukaryota; Viridiplantae; Streptophyta; Magnoliopsida; Malpighiales; Euphorbiaceae. The record is from RNAcentral.